GAUGAACGCUGGCGGCGUGCCUAAUACAUGCAAGUCGAGCGAACGGACGAGAAGCUUGCUUCUCUGAUGUUAGCGGCGGACGGGUGAUUAACACGUGGAUAACCUACCUAUAAGACUGGGAUAACUUCGGGAAACCGUAGCUAAUACCGGAUAAUAUUUUGAACCGCAUGGUUCAAAAGUGAAAGACGGUCUUUCUUUCACUUAUAGAUUGAUCCGCGCUGCAUUAGCUAGUUGGUAAGGUAACGGCUUACCAAGGCAACGAUGCAUAGCCGACCUGAGAGGGUGAACGGCCAGACGGGAAGUGAGAAACGGCACAGACAUCGAGGGGAGGCAGCAGUAGGGAAUCUUACGCAAGGGGCGAAAGCCUGACGGAGCAAAGCCGCGGGAGGGAUGAAGGUCUUAGGAUCGUAAAACGCUGUUAUUAGGGAAGAACAAAUGUGUAAGUAACUGUGAACAUCUUGACGGUACCUAAUCAGAAAGCCACGGCUAACUACGUG
RNAcentral lists this ribosomal RNA (497 nucleotides) under uncultured bacterium. RNAcentral describes it as "partial 16S ribosomal RNA". It matches the Rfam family "Bacterial small subunit ribosomal RNA", at positions 28 to 507 of the family's 1533-position model. The record is from RNAcentral.